This 232-nucleotide ribosomal RNA is filed under the name uncultured bacterium. RNAcentral describes it as "partial 16S ribosomal RNA". It matches the Rfam family "Bacterial small subunit ribosomal RNA", at positions 99 to 334 of the family's 1533-position model. The record is from RNAcentral.
CGGACGGGUGAGUAAUGUCUGGGAAACUGCCCGAUGGAGGGGGAUAACUACUGGAAACGGUAGCUAAUACCGCAUAAUGUCUACGGACCAAAGCGGGGGACCUCCGGGCCUCUUGCCAUCGGAUGUGCCCAGAUGGGAUUAGCUAGUAGGUGGGGUAACGGCUCACCUAGGCGACGAUCCCUAGCUGGUCUGAGAGGAUGAUCAGCCACACUGGGACUGAGACACGGCCCAG